CCUACGGGAGGCAGCAGUGGGGAAUAUUGGGCAAUGGGCGCAAGCCUGACCCAGCAACGCCGCGUGAAGGAAGAAGGCUUUCGGGUUGUAAACUUCUUUUAUCAGGGACGAAGGAAGUGACGGUACCUGAGGAAUAAGCCACGGCUAACUACGUGCCAGCAGCCGCGGUAAUACGUAGGUGGCAAGCGUUAUCCGGAUUUACUGGGGGUAAAGGGCGUGUAGGCGGGACUGCAAGUCAGAUGUGAAAACCGGGGGCUCAACCCGUGGACUGCAUUGGAAACUGUAGAUCUUGAGUGCAGGAGAGGCAGACGGAAUGCCUGGUGUAGCGGUGAAAUGCGUAGAUAUUAGGAGGAACACCAGUGGCGAAGGCGGUCGGCUGGACUGCAACUGACGCUGAGGCGCGAAAGCGUGGGGAGCAAACAGGAUUAGAUACCCGUGUAGUC
Molecule: ribosomal RNA, 443 nt
Filed under: uncultured bacterium
Lineage: Bacteria
Description: partial 16S ribosomal RNA
Rfam family: Bacterial small subunit ribosomal RNA
Source: RNAcentral